AUUCCCGAGUAGUAUGGGGCACGUGAAAUCCCGUAUGAAUCUGCGAGGACCACCUCGUAAGGCUAAAUACUCCUGAGUGACCGAUAGCGAAAUAGUACCGCGAGGGAAAGGUGAAAAGAACCCCUGUUGGGGAGUGAAAUAGAACAUGAAACCAUGUGCUCUCAAGCAGUGGAAGGGCUGUUGUAGCCUGACCGCGUGCCUGUUGAAGAAUGAGCCGGCGACUUAUAGGAAGUGGCUGGGUUAAGGAGUUAAAUCCGUAGCCCAAGCGAAAGCGAGUCUUAAUAGGGCGUAAAUGGUCACUUCUUAUGGACCCGAACCCGGGUGAUCUAUUCAUGACCAGGUUGAAGCUUUUGUAACAAUAAGUGGAGGACCGAACCGACCGAUGUUGAAAAAUCGGCGGAUGAGUUGUGAAUAGGGGAGAAAUUCCAAUCGAACUCGGAGCUAGCUGGAUCUCCCCGAAAUGCGUUGAGGCGCAGCGGUAACGAUGUACAAUCUUGGGGUAAAGCUACUGUUUCGAUGCGGGCUGCGAAAGCGGUACCAAGUCGUGGCAAACUCAGAAUACAAGAUUUGUUUUCCGUAAACCAGUGAGACUGUGGGGGAUAAGCUUCAUUGUCAAGAGGGAAACAGCCCAGAUCACCAGCUAAGGCCCCUAAAUGGUUGCUAAGUGGAAAAGGAUGUGAGAAUGCUGAAACAACCAGGAGGUUUGCCUAGAAGCAGCCACCCUUGAAAGAGUGCGUAAUAGCUCACUGGUAAAGCGUUCUUGCGCCGACAAUGGCCGGGACUAAGUGACCUGCCGAAGCUGUGAUAUAGUU
This 812-nucleotide ribosomal RNA is filed under the name Chlamydomonas mexicana. RNAcentral's name for it is "large subunit rRNA gammma". It matches the Rfam family "Bacterial large subunit ribosomal RNA", at positions 404 to 1212 of the family's 2925-position model. The record is from RNAcentral. Lineage: Eukaryota; Viridiplantae; Chlorophyta; Chlorophyceae; Chlamydomonadales; Chlamydomonadaceae.